CUGGUGCGCAUGCGCGGUAGCGCUGACGUUACAGGGAAGCGACCGCUAACUUAAAACUUGCUUAACACAACGCUAAUGGACUACAUCAACGAGACGAUUCAAAAGACUUUCAUGUUACACUCAAGAAGAAAUCCUCAGAGAAUUCUUUGCCAUGAGGUGCCAUGUUGAACUUCCAGUGACCAGUAUGAGGGAGUGUGAGAGCGAUGACACCAAAUUUAACACACCUGCUCCCCAUUCACACCCGAGACCUUGUAACACUAACGAGUCACAUGACACCCGGGAGGGAAAAUGGCUAAUCAUUUACAAUAAUAUAUAUUCUUCACAUUGGAGCCACAGAAAACCAGUUCCUUUCAAAUGUAGAUUCAAGAUGUUGUGUGUCAUAUUAACAGCAGUUUAAACCUAUUUAGUUAGGUGUUUUAAAGAUUCAAGAAGUCAUGCACAAGGUACCAUGUACAGCGAGAUUCUUAGUUUACGCGCUCUUCAUGUACCGCAGUAGAAAACAUAGAAAGAAUGAAGGCAAUAAAAUCACAGUAAAACAGUGUAUAUCAUUAUAAAGGUACAAAUAAUAAAAGAAAUAAUAGCUAAAAUACACUGGUGUUGAAAUGAAGUGCGGGAUGACGUUACGGAAGAAGAAGAGACUGGUAUAAAUAACCGGUCACAAUAUAUGCAUUUAAUUAAAAAAAUUUAUAAAUAUGCACAGUGAGGUCACUCUCGGUCAUAUUUACAUCAGGUAGUCUGCUGAAUAACAGUAUUUACACGAGGACAUGGGGUAUAGGGGUCCAUGCACCUAUGUCCUAGAAAGAUUUAGUUAAAUAAAACAUUUCUCUUCCCAAAUAUGCACUUACUGUAGUUUUUGUAAAAUUGUAUAAUUAAUAAUUGAUUAUAAUUAAGCUUUUGAUAAAAACCCUCAUUAAUUUACCUGAACAGUCGAUUAGAAAUGACUCUAAACAUUAUAAAAACUUUGUUAGUAAAUGAUCGCGAUCUUCACCGCUGUAUCAUCAUUAAAAAGACCCCAAUUAAUGAACCUGGAAAUUUUUUCUUGUCUAUUGCACGAAAUCUCGAUCCAGCUGAUCACUCGAUGACUCAAUCGUCUUUCACGUCACCGUCUGAAUAAAACAUUUGAACAUUGUGUGCCUGA
This is a long non-coding RNA of Ictalurus punctatus (channel catfish), 1138 nucleotides long. RefSeq lists it as uncharacterized. The record is from RefSeq and is a predicted model, not a curated record. The transcript has 2 exons. NCBI's taxonomy places the organism in Eukaryota, Metazoa, Chordata, Actinopteri, Siluriformes, Ictaluridae.